Molecule: ribosomal RNA, 1313 nt
Filed under: Bacillus pumilus
Lineage: Bacteria; Bacillati; Bacillota; Bacilli; Caryophanales; Bacillaceae
Description: bacterial SSU rRNA
Rfam family: Bacterial small subunit ribosomal RNA
Source: RNAcentral
UGCAAGUCGAGCGAACAGAAGGGAGCUUGCUCCCGGAUGUUAGCGGCGGACGGGUGAGUAACACGUGGGUAACCUGCCUGUAAGACUGGGAUAACUCCGGGAAACCGGAGCUAAUACCGGAUAGUUCCUUGAACCGCAUGGUUCAAGGAUGAAAGACGGUUUCGGCUGUCACUUACAGAUGGACCCGCGGCGCAUUAGCUAGUUGGUGGGGUAAUGGCUCACCAAGGCAACGAUGCGUARCCGACCUGAGAGGGUGAUCGGCCACACUGGGACUGAGACACGGCCCAGACUCCUACGGGAGGCAGCAGUAGGGAAUCUUCCGCAAUGGACGAAAGUCUGACGGAGCAACGCCGCGUGAGUGAUGAAGGUUUUCGGAUCGUAAAGCUCUGUUGUUAGGGAAGAACAAGUGCGAGAGUAACUGCUCGCACCUUGACGGUACCUAACCAGAAAGCCACGGCUAACUACGUGCCASCAGCCGCGGUAAUACGUAGGUGGCAAGCGUUGUCCGGAAUUAUUGGGCGUAAAGGGCUCGCAGGCGGUUUCUUAAGUCUGAUGUGAAAGCCCCCGGCUCAACCGGGGAGGGUCAUUGGAAACUGGGAAACUUGAGUGCAGAAGAGGAGAGUGGAAUUCCACGUGUAGCGGUGAAAUGCGUAGAGAUGUGGAGGAACACCAGUGGCGAAGGCGACUCUCUGGUCUGUAACUGACGCUGAGGAGCGAAAGCGUGGGGAGCGAACAGGAUUAGAUACCCUGGUAGUCCACGCCGUAAACGAUGAGUGCUAAGUGUUAGGGGGUUUCCGCCCCUUAGUGCUGCAGCUAACGCAUUAAGCACUCCGCCUGGGGAGUACGGUCGCAAGACUGAAACUCAAAGGAAUUGACGGGGGCCCGCACAAGCGGUGGAGCAUGUGGUUUAAUUCGAAGCAACGCGAAGAACCUUACCAGGUCUUGACAUCCUCUGACAACCCUAGAGAUAGGGCUUUCCCUUCGGGGACAGAGUGACAGGUGGUGCAUGGUUGUCGUCAGCUCGUGUCGUGAGAUGUUGGGUUAAGUCCCGCAACGAGCGCAACCCUUGAUCUUAGUUGCCAGCAUUUAGUUGGGCACUCUAAGGUGACUGCCGGUGACAAACCGGAGGAAGGUGGGGAUGACGUCAAAUCAUCAUGCCCCUUAUGACCUGGGCUACACACGUGCUACAAUGGACAGAACAAAGGGCUGCGAGACCGCAAGGUUUAGCCAAUCCCAUAAAUCUGUUCUCAGUUCGGAUCGCAGUCUGCAACUCGACUGCGUGAAGCUGGAAUCGCUAGUAAUCGCGGAUCAGC